Molecule: ribosomal RNA, 444 nt
Filed under: uncultured bacterium
Lineage: Bacteria
Description: bacterial SSU rRNA
Rfam family: Bacterial small subunit ribosomal RNA
Source: RNAcentral
UAAGGAAUAUUGGACAAUGGGCGCAAGCCUGAUCCAGCCAUGCCGCGUGCAGGAUGAAGGAGCUCAGCUCUGUAAACUGCUUUUGUUUGGGAAAAAACCCCUGGUUUCUACCGGGGCUGAUUGUACCAAAAGAAUAAGGGACGGCUAACUUCGUGCCAGCAGCCGCGGUAAUACGAAGGUCCCAAGCGUUAUCCGGAUUUAUUGGGUUUAAAGGGUGCGUAGGCGGGCUAUUAAGUCAGUGGUGAAAGCCUCAAGCUUAACUUGAGAAUUGCCAUUGAUACUGAUGACCUUGAGUACAUUUGAAGUGGGCGGAAUGUGUCAUGUAGCGGUGAAAUGCUUAGAUAUGACACAGAACACCGAUUGCGUAGGCAGCUCACUAAACUGUAACUGACGCUGAGGCACGAAAGCGUGGGGAGCAAACAGGAUUAGAUACCCCCGUAGUCC